RNAcentral lists this ribosomal RNA (460 nucleotides) under uncultured bacterium. RNAcentral describes it as "partial 16S ribosomal RNA". It matches the Rfam family "Bacterial small subunit ribosomal RNA", at positions 338 to 795 of the family's 1533-position model. The record is from RNAcentral.
CCUACGGGUGGCAGCAGUGAGGAAUAUUGGUCAAUGGGCGUAAGCCUGAACCAGCCAAGUCGCGUGAGGGAUGAAGGUUCUAUGGAGCGUAAACCUCUUUUAUAAGGGAAUAUAGUGUGGGACGUGUCCUAUUUUGUAUGUACCUUAUGAAUAAGGAUCGGCUAACUCCGUGCCAGCAGCCGCGGUAAUACGGAGGAUCCGAGCUUUAUCCGGAUUUAUUGGGUUUAAAGGGUGCUUAGGCGGCCGUUUAAGUAAGCGGUGAAUGUCUGUGGCUCAACCAUAGAAUUGCCGUUGAAACUGGGGGGCUUGAGUAUGUUUGCGGCAGGAGGAAUGCGUGGUGUAGCGGUGAAAUGCUUAGAUAUCACGCAGAACCCCGAUUGCGAAGGCAGCCUGCCAAGCCAUGACUGACGCUGAUGCACGAAAGCGUGGGGAUCAAACAGGAUUAGAUACCCCAGUAGUC